CGCAGCCGCGGUAAUUCCAGCUCCAAUAGCGUAUAUUAAAGUUGUUGCAGUUAAAAAGCUCGUAGUUGAAUUUCGGGAUCGACGGGUCGGUCGCGCCUCUGGUGUGCACUGGCCCUGUCGGUUUCUCCCUUCUGACGAACCACGAUGUCAUUAAUUUGGUGUCGUGGGAAAUCAGGACUGUUACUUUGAAAAAUUAGAGUGUUUAAAGCAGGCAUUCGCUUGAAUACAUUAGCAUGGAAUAAUGAAAUAGGACGUUUGAUCUUAUUUUGUUGGUUUCUAAGAUCGACGUAAUGAUUAAUAGGGAUAGUUGGGGGCAUUAGUAUUCAAUUGUCAGAGGUGAAAUUCUUGGAUUUAUUGAAGACUAACUACUGCGAAAGCAUUUGCCAAGGAUGUUUUCAUUAAUCAAGAACGAAAGUUAGGGGAUCGAAGACGAUCAGAUACCGUCGUAGU
Molecule: ribosomal RNA, 450 nt
Filed under: uncultured Glomus
Lineage: Eukaryota; Fungi; Glomeromycota; Glomeromycetes; Glomerales; Glomeraceae
Description: SSU rRNA
Rfam family: Eukaryotic small subunit ribosomal RNA
Source: RNAcentral